This is a transfer RNA of 74 nucleotides. It matches the Rfam family "tRNA". Rfam says of the family: Transfer RNA (tRNA) molecules are approximately 80 nucleotides in length. Their secondary structure includes four short double-helical elements and three loops (D, anti-codon, and T loops). Further hydrogen bonds mediate the characteristic L-shaped molecular structure. tRNAs have two regions of fundamental functional importance: the anti-codon, which is responsible for specific mRNA codon recognition, and the 3' end, to which the tRNAs corresponding amino acid is attached (by aminoacyl-tRNA synthetases). tRNAs cope with the degeneracy of the genetic code in two manners: having more than one tRNA (with a specific anti-codon) for a particular amino acid; and 'wobble' base-pairing, i.e. permitting non-standard base-pairing at the 3rd anti-codon position.
GCGUGUAAAACAUUGUGGUGAUGUGGCUGCUUUCCACGCAGUCUAGCUGGGUUCGAUUCCCGGUACGCGCUCCA